GCCGACCAGGCGGCCUGUCUCUCUGCUUCGCUGUGGAUAUAUUCCCCUCACCUAUUGUCGAGCACCUCCUCUACUCCGCUGCCACGACUAUCAUCAUCUCCUCACCGUUGCCACACCGCCCUCACUCACUUUUCGAGUCGAAAGAAGAAAGCGCACACGCUCAAAGGCGCGCCUUCCACGUGGGGAUGUCUGGUAAAGCGCCCGCGCCCCUCUGCCUGCGGAGCCUCAAGAAGGAAGAUCUCAACUACGAGGGCCGCGUACGGGCCGAGAAACACAAGGAUGAGCUUAUCAUAGACUACACCGCCUACCUGGCGGCUCACCCGGAGAUCACCCCACUCCUACACGACAUCAUGCAGCACUUGCUGUUGCAGAAACCAGACCAUCCACUUGCGGCCAUGAGCGAGUUUGUGCGGGCGCGCACCUCGAGUUUUUCGUAGGCAUGUGACGCUGCACAAUGCGCCAGCGCAAGAACGAAAACAACCCCCUCUGCGCGUGGCUUUUGUGGGUGCUGUGCGUGAGCCCCUCACUUGCCCACACGCACACCUCCCAUCGUUUCCACCUCACCCAUCGCAGUGCCCUUGUCGACAUGUACAGUACUCACGGACGCCCUUAAGGGGCAAAUUGUGCCACGCUAUUAUCCAUUUAGGAGGCCGGCAUCGAAGACACGAAACACAUACCGCGCCAAUGAGUAUCUGCUCUCUUCCAUUUUGAGGGAGACUGGUGAGCGGCGGCUAUCAUGAGCUCCCUCUACCUGCCCACAGGGUCCGGUGUGUCCGUGGUGAAUCACGAAGAUGGCCGCUGCUAGUUAGAACGCUACCCCCUCUUCCCUUCCUCCCUUCCGUUCAGCGAACCUCGCCUGCCACCGUCCACUCCACUCUCCGCUGCUGCCCCUCCGUUUUCUCCUUCACGUCGCCUCCCUUCCGUUCGUCGAUCACCUGCGCACGAGCGUCGUCGCAUCAG
RNAcentral lists this unclassified non-coding RNA (960 nucleotides) under Leishmania donovani. Its description in RNAcentral is "gene:LdHU3.31.5180(CDS-product:hypothetical_prote in_conserved)". Lineage: Eukaryota; Euglenozoa; Kinetoplastea; Trypanosomatida; Trypanosomatidae. The record is from RNAcentral.